UCCUACUUAUCAUAGGCAGUUUCCUUAGAGUUCCCAACUGAAUGAUGGCAACUAAGGACGAGGGUUGCGCUCGUUGCGGGACUUAACCCAACAUCUCACGACACGAGCUGACGACAGCCAUGCAGCACCUGUGUUCCUUCCACCCGAAGUGAAGAAAACCAUCUCUGGAAUUCAAAAAGGACAUGUCAAGGCCUGGUAAGGUUCUUCGCGUUGCCUCGAAUUAAACCACAUGCUCCACCGCUUGUGCGGGUCCCCGUCAAUUUCUUUGAGUUUUAGCCUUGCGGCCGUACUCCCCAGGCGGAAUGCUUAAUGCGUUAGCGACGUCACUGAGGGCUAAGCCCCCAACAACUAGCAUUCAUCGUUUACAGCGUGGACUAC
RNAcentral lists this unclassified non-coding RNA (378 nucleotides) under uncultured Rickettsiales bacterium. RNAcentral describes it as "contains 16S-23S intergenic spacer region". Lineage: Bacteria; Pseudomonadati; Pseudomonadota; Alphaproteobacteria; Rickettsiales. The record is from RNAcentral.